GGAAGGGGCAAGCGUUGUUCGGAAUCAUUGGGCGUAAAGGGCGCGUAGGUGGUUUUGUAUGUCUACCGUGAAAGGGUACAGCUCAACUGUAGCUCGUCGGUAGAAACUGCAGGACUUGAGGCUGGGAGGGGCUGGUGGAAUUCCCUGUGUAGCGGUGAAAUGCGUAGAGAUGGGGGAGAACACUCGUGGCGAAGGCGGCCAGCUAGACCAGUUCUGACACUGAGGCGCGACAGCGUGGGGAGCAAACAGGAUUAGAUACCCUGGUAGUCCACGCUGUAAACGAUGGGCACUAGGUGCCGGCGGUCUUGAUCCCGUCGGUGCCGGCGCUAACGCAGUAAGUGCCCCGCCUGGGGAGUACGGUCGCAAGGCUGAA
RNAcentral lists this ribosomal RNA (373 nucleotides) under uncultured bacterium. Its description in RNAcentral is "bacterial SSU rRNA". It matches the Rfam family "Bacterial small subunit ribosomal RNA", at positions 527 to 898 of the family's 1533-position model. The record is from RNAcentral.